RNAcentral lists this non-coding RNA (29 nucleotides) under Cricetulus griseus (Chinese hamster). The record is from RNAcentral. Lineage: Eukaryota; Metazoa; Chordata; Mammalia; Rodentia; Cricetidae.
AUCAUCAUCAACUACAGUCUUGAGCAGCC